This 470-nucleotide ribosomal RNA is filed under the name uncultured bacterium. Its description in RNAcentral is "bacterial SSU rRNA". It matches the Rfam family "Bacterial small subunit ribosomal RNA", at positions 28 to 507 of the family's 1533-position model. The record is from RNAcentral.
GAUGAACGCUAGCGACAGGCUUAACACAUGCAAGUCGAGGGGCAGCGAGGGCGUAGCAAUACGCCUGUCGGCGACCGGCGCACUGGUGAGUAACACGUAUGCGACCUGCCCCCUACAGGGGUAUAACUCGUAGAAAUGCGGACUAAUCCCCCAUAGUCCUGGGUGCUGCAUGGCAUUCAGGGGAAAGGUCAGCCGGUAGGGGAUGGGCAUGCGGCGCAUUAGCUAGUUGGCGGGGCAACGGCCCACCAAGCCCACGAUCAGUAGGGGUUCUGAGAGGAAGGUCCCCCACAUUGGAACUGAGACACGGUCCAAACUCCUACGGGAGGCAGCAGUGGGGAAUAUUGCACAAUGGGGGAAACCCUGAUGCAGCAACGCCGCGUGAAGGAAGACGGUUUUCGGAUUGUAAACUUCUAUCAAUAGGGACGAAGAAAGUGACGGUACCUAAAUAAGAAGCCCCGGCUAACUACGUG